RNAcentral lists this ribosomal RNA (461 nucleotides) under Streptococcus sp. oral taxon 064. Its description in RNAcentral is "bacterial SSU rRNA". It matches the Rfam family "Bacterial small subunit ribosomal RNA", at positions 28 to 472 of the family's 1533-position model. The record is from RNAcentral. Lineage: Bacteria; Bacillati; Bacillota; Bacilli; Lactobacillales; Streptococcaceae.
GACGAACGCUGGCGGCGUGCCUAAUACAUGCAAGUAGAACGCUGAAGGAGGAGCUUGCUCUUCUUGGAUGAGUUGCGAACGGGUGAGUAACGCGUAGGUAACCUGCCUGGUAGCGGGGGAUAACUAUUGGAAACGAUAGCUAAUACCGCAUAAUAGUAGAUGUUGCAUGACAUUUGCUUAAAAGGUGCAAUUGCAUCACUACCAGAUGGACCUGCGUUGUAUUAGCUAGUUGGUGAGGUAACGGCUCACCAAGGCAACGAUACAUAGCCGACCUGAGAGGGUGAUCGGCCACACUGGGACUGAGACUCGGCCCAGACUCCUACGGGAGGCAGCAGUAGGGAAUCUUCGGCAAUGGACGGAAGUCUGACCGAGCAACGCCGCGUGAGUGAAGAAGGUUUUCGGAUCGUAAAGCUCUGUUGUAAGAGAAGAACGAGUGUGAGAGUGGAAAGUUCGCACUGUGA